AGAGAUGUAGCUCAAUGGUGAAGCACUUGCCUACAUGUGCACUACUCUGGGUUCAAUUCCCAGCACUUCAA
This 71-nucleotide transfer RNA is filed under the name Dipodomys ordii (Ord's kangaroo rat). It matches the Rfam family "tRNA". Rfam says of the family: Transfer RNA (tRNA) molecules are approximately 80 nucleotides in length. Their secondary structure includes four short double-helical elements and three loops (D, anti-codon, and T loops). Lineage: Eukaryota; Metazoa; Chordata; Mammalia; Rodentia; Heteromyidae. The record is from Rfam by way of RNAcentral.